This is a long non-coding RNA of Pomacea canaliculata, 710 nucleotides long. RefSeq lists it as uncharacterized. The transcript has 2 exons. The record is from RefSeq and is a predicted model, not a curated record. Lineage: Eukaryota; Metazoa; Mollusca; Gastropoda; Architaenioglossa; Ampullariidae.
AAUCCGUUUUAGUCACGUGUCUGGUUCAUUGUAGAAGCCUCUCGAUCCUUUAUAUAUAAUCUGCUACCUGGCGUUGAACAAGGGAAGAUUGUAAGAGGUCUCUAGCUAAAAAGGUGAACACAGAAUUGUUAUACUGCAAUGUAUGUAUAUAACCCCCCGGACAAUUCGAUCAUUCUGGAGGCAAUAGUCCGUUUGGGGAAGGCUAUUCGAAUUGGCUCCACUAUUAAUCCUCAGAAAAGAAGCGACGAGUAUACGAGAGAUGACCCAGACGUGUAUCACGACGACUGUGUCAUGGUCUUUGCUGCAAGUGGUAACAUGAAGGCCGAUGAAAAUCAUCUGUUCCAGCUAUGUGAGGGAACUGCGUCCGGUGUAAUGAAUGUACAGAAAAGAAGCAACGCGGAGCCAGAGCCAGGCUUUGUCUACGUCAUCGUCUCCAGCGUGGAAAUGUUUGAAAAGUGCCUCAAAAUUUGGAAGACCAGUCAACAAUUCAAUAUGGACCCCGUGCUUGUGGCGGCGAUAAUAAAUCUCUGAUUCAGACUUUUUGAAAACCAGAUGACAAUUAAACAACCGGACCGAUUCGCUUCCUCGCUCAGGCUAAGACUGCGGCCCUAGCACCCAAUCAGUCCGUGCCUCUUAGGUGUUCCAUGGAAGAGGACAUCAUUUUGGUUUUGCUUUUUUUUUUCUCUAAAUUAAACAAAUUGCACCUUUGA